This is a long non-coding RNA of Talpa occidentalis (Iberian mole), 826 nucleotides long. RefSeq lists it as uncharacterized. The record is from RefSeq and is a predicted model, not a curated record. The transcript has 3 exons. Lineage: Eukaryota; Metazoa; Chordata; Mammalia; Eulipotyphla; Talpidae.
AAGUACCUACUGUCUGCCCACCCUUUGCUGAACUCUAGGGCCCAGUGGGAACCAGGCUACAAAUGAUCCCUGCCCUCUGGGGCCCCCAGUGUGGUGGGGGAGGCAGAGAGUAAACAGGAAACAGAUAAACAAACCACGUAAUUUCAAAUACAGAGGUAGAAGAAGGAAAAGAACAUAAGUAACACACCAAAGGAGGCCAUCAGCCAGGAAAACUUUCUGAGAAGAUGUUUAGCCAGUCAAGACUUUGAGAAGGAAGAUGAGCCAGCCAGAGAGCGCACCCCAGGUAGAGGGUAAAGUUCAUGAAAAGGUUCCGAGGUGCGGAACAGAGGAGAUAGGGACCAGAUUCCUUGCCCAGCCCAUGAUGAUGGGGCUCUGCUACCCCCUAGUGGGGUGUUAGCAUUCCCUGGAGGCCAAUUGAUCCAGGCCAAUUGAUCCAGGCCACAAGAUCUCUUAUUUGGAUGUUGCCCUGGCCACCUCCUUGCCUCUGCCAUCUGGAUUCCUGGCCCCAGAAGACCUUUUUCCCCACAAGGCAGCCACAGAAGAUUAAGAAAAGGGCCUCCCUGGUGGCCUAGGGGUUAAGUCUCAGCACCAUCACCACUGCAGCCUGAGUGGCCAGGGAGCUGACCCACAAGACACAGGAGACCUCUCCUGUCUUGCCUACUGCUGCCUGUAGCCAUGUAUUUCAGUAGAUCUACCUGUUCUACUCCCCACUCUGUCUCUGGUGAAUCCUCUUAACUACCCCCUCCCCCCCAUGCCUCUAGCCUACACCGCAGUUCUUAUGUGUAUAAAUAUAUAAAAAUAAAUAUUUUUUAAAAAGAAGGUUAAG